Long non-coding RNA from Neoarius graeffei (lesser salmon catfish), 228 nucleotides. RefSeq lists it as uncharacterized. The transcript has 3 exons. The record is from RefSeq and is a predicted model, not a curated record. Lineage: Eukaryota; Metazoa; Chordata; Actinopteri; Siluriformes; Ariidae.
ACUAGUAGCUAUGCCGGAUCCAGCAGUCGCCUGGGACAAGGCGACUCCUCCAAACACAGUCCUCCUGUCAGAACAUGUGUUGAGAAACGACAUAAGAUAAAGGUUCUUGCUGAUGUUUUUGCGGAGAAUGACGCAGCUGCUGAAUCAGAAGCUGCAGAGUUUAGGAAGAGCUAGCACUAGAGAGUUCACCGGCGUUUUCAUGCGCCAUUUCCAUUGAGUAGAACAGCC